RNAcentral lists this ribosomal RNA (274 nucleotides) under uncultured bacterium. RNAcentral describes it as "partial 16S ribosomal RNA". It matches the Rfam family "Bacterial small subunit ribosomal RNA", at positions 523 to 796 of the family's 1533-position model. The record is from RNAcentral.
AUACGGAGGGUGCAAGCGUUACUCGGAAUCACUGGGCGUAAAGGACGCGUAGGCGGGAUGCCAAGUCUGAUGUGAAAUCCUAUGGCUCAACCAUAGAACUGCAUUGGAAACUGGUAACCUAGAGUAUGGGAGGGGGAGAUGGAAUUAGUGGUGUAGGGGUAAAAUCCGUAGAUAUCACUAGGAAUACCUAAAGCGAAGGCGAUCUCCUGGAACAAUACUGACGCUAAGGCGUGAAAGCGUGGGUAGCAAACGGGAUUAGAAACCCUAGUAGUCC